This 1049-nucleotide long non-coding RNA is filed under the name Octopus vulgaris (common octopus). The record is from RNAcentral. Lineage: Eukaryota; Metazoa; Mollusca; Cephalopoda; Octopoda; Octopodidae.
AUAAAUAUCUGCAUGUGUGUAUACGUGUGUGUGUGUGUGAGUACACACACAUGUACAAUCGUAGGUACAUAUGUGUAUUAUACAUAAAUUCAAUCAUAUACUAAUGAAUGAACUAGUAAAAAAUUUACGUUGAAAAUAUGUCUUUUGACAUGAUCUUUAUUUAUUCUUAUUCACUGACUUAUUUUAUUCCUACCAUUUUCCUAUUGAUUACCUUUAUACUUACAUAUUUUCUCCACCCAUUCAAUCUUUCUUUUUAUGUAAUAUUUAACUUAAGGUAGAAAUUCUUUCCCCAAAAAUGUCUCUAUAGUAAUUUUUGUAUCAGAGAUUUGUUUUAGACCUUUGAUACAAAAAUUUUAGUUUUGUCUUCUAGACAUGAGACUCACUUCGGCUGUAAUCACAUUUGACUGCUUUCUUCUAAUUUGUUUUCCUUAUCUAUUUCCUACACACACAUUGACAGAUGGUUACUCUGUAAAUAUUGCUUUUGUUUUUUGACUUACUUUAUUGCUCUUUAAUUGAUAUUUCUGAUUUUGGCAUCUUGCCAUCUAGCUUACACACAAUCCAUAUUACCUUCACCAUUAUUAGUAUUUCUUUUAAAGGUAGCAAGUUGGUUAUUGGAUCAACUAUACCUGUUUCUUACAGAAAAUUAUCUUGUGUCUAAACACAAUUAAUCAUCAUUGUUAUUUUAUUAAGGGUAGCAAGUUAGCAGAACUGAUAUAGUGCUUGACUAAAUACCCUUUAGUAUUUAAUUUUACUUCUCUACAGUCUGAGUUCAAAUUCCACCAGGGGCAACUUUGCCUUUCGUCUCUUGAGAGCUGAUUAAUUAAGUACCAGGCAUGUUCUGGGGUUGAUUAAAUUGACUGUUUACUUCUUGCAAAAAUGUGUGGCUCCCCAAACUUAGAGACACGCAUGCACACACACACACAUACAUACAGACAUAAUAUUAAAAUUAACUAGACUGUUUAUUUCAUAUUGCUCAGUGUUAAAAACUAAAUAAAAUGUAAUCAUUAAAAAAUUGAAAGAAACAAAAAAAAAACAAAACAAAACAAAAA